Molecule: long non-coding RNA, 306 nt
Organism: Nematolebias whitei (Rio pearlfish)
Lineage: Eukaryota; Metazoa; Chordata; Actinopteri; Cyprinodontiformes; Rivulidae
Exons: 3
Source: RefSeq, a predicted model, not a curated record
AUUCAGAGGCCAUUUUCUCUCAGCAGGACAGAGAACAGAACCAGCAGCUGGACCGGGACUGACUGAAGAGCAGAAGAUGGAUGCUGGAGUGGAGGACGAGGAAGAAAAGGCAGACACCACAGGACUCAUGAAGUGUGACAGGUCCAGAGGAAGUCCUUCAGGUUUCAGUGGGGAACCUGGACCCACCAACAUAAAAGGUCACAACCACAAACCGAGAGCAGAACCUCCAGGCCCCAGCUGUCUGCCCCCGCCCAGUGACCACUCCAUAGAAGAACCUCUCAACUUCAGUAAAGAACCCGGACCCUC